CCCCCUUACUUACAUUCCCUAUCAAAAUAUGUUCGUUGUUAGUAAUAAACUUCAAAGAACUUCGGAAAGAAAUGCCUUCAACAGCAAUAUGCUGGCGAUACAAAACUAUCCAUACCCCCUGCAUGUUUAUGCACCUGUCCUGAUUGAUUCAGGGGCCUGUCGUUCAGCAGUUAGAUAUCGUUGGUUGAUGUUCAUAAAUAUUAUUUGGUAUUUUCCCGUUUGUAUAUAAUAUAUAAAUUAGAUCGUUGUUUUUCCUGUUCGAAUUGUGUACACUUCUAAUUUUGGGGUCCCUUAUAGCUUGCUGUUUGAUCUGGGUCAAAGCCCUGCCGUACGUACUAUGACCUGUAUUUGCUAUUAUCCCUCAGACAGAGCACAUAUGGGGUCAUUUUACUGUUGUAAAAAGAAAAAAGAAAUGCCAAGGAUUUGCAUAGUGUUACUAUACAAAUCCUUUGAAGAACUUAAAAAAAUUUACUUAAAAAGAGGAGAAAUACAUCAUAUUUUAAACAACAAAUUACUAUUCUUAAAGAGGGGCCC
This 534-nucleotide long non-coding RNA is filed under the name Mytilus galloprovincialis (Mediterranean mussel). The record is from RNAcentral. Lineage: Eukaryota; Metazoa; Mollusca; Bivalvia; Mytilida; Mytilidae.